Molecule: non-coding RNA, 19 nt
Filed under: Arabidopsis thaliana (thale cress)
Lineage: Eukaryota; Viridiplantae; Streptophyta; Magnoliopsida; Brassicales; Brassicaceae
Source: RNAcentral
GGGUUGGCUCGCUCGGCCG